Molecule: ribosomal RNA, 181 nt
Filed under: uncultured Alphaproteobacteria bacterium
Lineage: Bacteria; Pseudomonadati; Pseudomonadota; Alphaproteobacteria
Description: partial 16S ribosomal RNA
Source: RNAcentral
GGAAAGUGGAGGGAGGAACGUUAUACAGCACGCCGCGUGAGCGAUGAAGGCCUUCGGGUUGUAAAGCUCUGUCGUCGGGGACGACGGUGCCGGAACCUGUUGAUUAUCCCCUGCUAGCUUCGUGCCAGCAACCGCGGUAAUACUCGUGCCCCCAGCCCCGGUAAUAAGGGGCCCGCCGCCC